UGGGGAAUAUUGCACAAUGGGGGAAACCCUGAUGCAGCGACGCCGCGUGAGUGAAGAAGGUUUUCGGAUCGUAAAGCUCUGUCCUUGGGGAAGAAAAAAAUGACGGUACCCAAGGAGGAAGCCCCGGCUAACUACGUGCCAGCAGCCGCGGUAAUACGUAGGGGGCUAGCGUUGUCCGGAUUUACUGGGCGUAAAGGGUGAGUAGGCGGUUGCAUAUGUCAGAUGUAAAAGGCACAGGCUUAACCUGUGUUCGCAUUUGAAACUGUGCGACUUGAGAGCAGGAGAGGUAAGUGGAAUUCCUAGUGUAGCGGUGAAAUGCGUAGAUAUUAGGAGGAACACCAGUGGCGAAGGCGACUUACUGGACUGUAACUGACGCUGAGUCACGAAAGCGUGGGUAGCAAACAGG
Molecule: ribosomal RNA, 406 nt
Filed under: uncultured prokaryote
Also listed under: 1 other name
Description: bacterial SSU rRNA
Rfam family: Bacterial small subunit ribosomal RNA
Source: RNAcentral